GGUAGUCCACGCCGUAAACGAUGUCGACUUGGAGGUUGUGCCCUUGAGGCGUGGCUUCCGGAGCUAACGCGUUAAGUCGACCGCCUGGGGAGUACGGCCGCAAGGUUAAAACUCAAAUGAAUUGACGGGGGCCCGCACAAGCGGUGGAGCAUGUGGUUUAAUUCGAUGCAACGCGAAGAACCUUACCUGGUCUUGACAUCCACGGAAGUUUUCAGAGAUGAGAAUGUGCCUUCGGGAACCGUGAGACAGGUGCUGCAUGGCUGUCGUCAGCUCGUGUUGUGAAAUGUUGGGUUAAGUCCCGCAACGAGCGCAACCCUUAUCCUUUGUUGCCAGCGGUCCGGCCGGGAACUCAAAGGAGACUGCCAGUGAUAAACUGGAGGAAGGUGGGGAUGACGUCAAGUCAUCAUGGCCCUUACGACCAGGGCUACACACGUGCUACAAUGGCGCAUACAAAGAGAAGCGACCUCGCGAGAGCAAGCGGACCUCAUAAAGUGCGUCGUAGUCCGGAUUGGAGUCUGCAACUCGACUCCAUGGAGUCGGAAUCGCUAGUAAUCGUGGAUCAGAAUGCCACGGUGAAUACGUUCCCGGGCCUUGUACACACCGCCCGUCACACCAUGGGAGUGGGUUGCAAAAGAAGUAGGUAGCUUAACCUUCGGGAGGGCGCUUACCACUUUGUGAUUCAUGACUGGGGCGAAGUCGUAACAAGGUAACCGUAGGGGAACCCUGC
RNAcentral lists this ribosomal RNA (727 nucleotides) under uncultured bacterium. RNAcentral's name for it is "bacterial SSU rRNA". It matches the Rfam family "Bacterial small subunit ribosomal RNA", at positions 789 to 1515 of the family's 1533-position model. The record is from RNAcentral.